UUCAGGGGUAAACCUGAGAAGCCCGAAAGGUCGAAUGGGGAAAUUCAUUCGCGUUUCGGCCGUCGGCGUUGGAUGGUCGCGUGACGGAUGGCGUACGCGUCGUCCGCGCCUUCCGUUCAUCGAACCGGCGUCGAACGCGUGCACUUUUCCCCUAGUAGGACGUCGCGAUCCGUUGGGUGUCGGUCUACGGCUCGCGGUGGAGCCCGUGCGGUCGUUUCGGCGUAUCGCACGGACCCGUGGUGUCCCGGCCGACCCGCUCGACGGUAUACAGAUGGCGCGGGGCCGCUACACAGUUAGCGUUCGGCCUGCGGCAAGCGCGUUCGUUGUUUGACGGCGAUCGGACCUGGUGCCGGUCCUGUCCGCGAGCGACUGUUGGCCGUAGUGUUCUCGAACAGACCUCGUUUUGAAACGCCGAUCUGCGACGCUAUAGCUUUGGGUACUUUCAGGACCCACGGACCAAGGAGUCUAGCAUGUGCGCGAGUCAUUGGGACAUAACUAAACCUAAAGGCGUAAUGAAAGUGAAGGUCCGCCUUGCGCGGAUCGAGGGAGGAUGGGUGGUUCGCCCUUAAAAGUGGCCACUCCGCACUCCCGGGGCGUCUCGUUCUCAUCGCGAGAAGAGGCGCACCAAGAGC
This 632-nucleotide ribosomal RNA is filed under the name Xylotrechus pyrrhoderus. RNAcentral describes it as "eukaryotic LSU rRNA". The record is from RNAcentral. Lineage: Eukaryota; Metazoa; Arthropoda; Insecta; Coleoptera; Cerambycidae.